RNAcentral lists this ribosomal RNA (116 nucleotides) under Streptococcus oralis. Lineage: Bacteria; Bacillati; Bacillota; Bacilli; Lactobacillales; Streptococcaceae. RNAcentral also lists the same sequence under 45 other names. The record is from RNAcentral.
UUAAGUGACGAUAGCCUAGGAGAUACACCUGUACCCAUGCCGAACACAGAAGUUAAGCCCUAGAACGCCGGAAGUAGUUGGGGGUUGCCCCCUGUGAGAUAUGGUAGUCGCUUAGC